CUAUUUAACUAUGAAUCUAUUACAAAUUGCGAAAUCAUCAUAUCAUAAAUUGCGUACAAUACAAAAUAUAUGAACAGACCCUAGGCGCCCAGCCAAAUCCUCUAAAGUCUGGAAAGAUGGAUGACACCUGUUCAUAAGAAGACAAAAAUUUAUUCGCAGGAAAUACACCUAACCGGCUAUUGGAAGGACUCAAAAACCAUCUAUCAAACAUGAUAUGAUCACCAAUUAAAUAUUAAGUGCUACUACAGACAGAUAAUUUUUACAAUUAAAUGGAGGUGAU
This 280-nucleotide unclassified non-coding RNA is filed under the name Hevea brasiliensis (rubber tree). Lineage: Eukaryota; Viridiplantae; Streptophyta; Magnoliopsida; Malpighiales; Euphorbiaceae. The record is from RNAcentral.